RNAcentral lists this transfer RNA (73 nucleotides) under Nicotiana obtusifolia. RNAcentral's name for it is "tRNA-Ser". The record is from RNAcentral. Lineage: Eukaryota; Viridiplantae; Streptophyta; Magnoliopsida; Solanales; Solanaceae.
CUCACCCCCCCCAGGAAAAAAGAUCAACACUCUAAUUUGGAUGAUUCUGUGACGACCCUAUCUUAUCCUAUCU